This 854-nucleotide ribosomal RNA is filed under the name Terracoccus sp. RNAcentral's name for it is "bacterial SSU rRNA". It matches the Rfam family "Bacterial small subunit ribosomal RNA", at positions 56 to 920 of the family's 1533-position model. The record is from RNAcentral. Lineage: Bacteria; Bacillati; Actinomycetota; Actinomycetes; Micrococcales; Intrasporangiaceae.
UGCAAGUCGAACGGUGAUGAUCAAGCUUGCUUGGUCUGAUCAGUGGCGAACGGGUGAGUAACACGUGAGUAACCUGCCCCUGACUCUGGGAUAACCCCGGGAAACCGGAGCUAAUACCGGAUAUGACACCAGUCCGCAUGGGCAUGGUGUGGAAAGUUUUUCGGUCUGGGAUGGACUCGCGGCCUAUCAGCUUGUUGGUGAGGUAAUGGCUCACCAAGGCGACGACGGGUAGCCGGCCUGAGAGGGCGACCGGCCACACUGGGACUGAGACACGGCCCAGACUCCUACGGGAGGCAGCAGUGGGGAAUAUUGCACAAUGGGCGAAAGCCUGAUGCAGCGACGCCGCGUGAGGGAUGACGGCCUUCGGGUUGUAAACCUCUUUCAGCAGGGAAGAAGCGGAAGUGACGGUACCUGCAGAAGAAGCACCGGCUAACUACGUGCCAGCAGCCGCGGUAAUACGUAGGGUGCGAGCGUUGUCCGGAAUUAUUGGGCGUAAAGAGCUUGUAGGUGGUUUGUCGCGUCUGCUGUGAAAAUCCGAGGCUCAACCUCGGACUUGCAGUGGGUACGGGCAGACUAGAGUGUGGUAGGGGAGACUGGAAUUCCUGGUGUAGCGGUGGAAUGCGCAGAUAUCAGGAGGAACACCGAUGGCGAAGGCAGGUCUCUGGGCCAUUACUGACACUGAGAAGCGAAAGCAUGGGGAGCGAACAGGAUUAGAUACCCUGGUAGUCCAUGCCGUAAACGUUGGGAACUAGGUGUGGGUCUCAUUCCACGAGAUCCGUGCCGCAGCUAACGCAUUAAGUUCCCCGCCUGGGGAGUACGGCCGCAAGGCUAAAACUCAAGGAAUUGACGGGGGC